Molecule: RNA transcript, 5628 nt
Organism: Zea mays
Lineage: Eukaryota; Viridiplantae; Streptophyta; Magnoliopsida; Poales; Poaceae
Exons: 3
Source: RefSeq, a predicted model, not a curated record
AGAUGCAUGCUUUUACUGCCUCAUUCAGUUAUGGUCGUGUACAUUUUUUGAAAACUAGACAUGUUCAGGCAAAAAACUAACAUGACCAAUGAAUGCCAGCGAAGUGACUACAUCUACAUAUAAACCACAUACUGGCAGUAAAAACAUCACAUGAAUACCUUGGUACUGCUCAAUUAAAUAUCUUCUAAAUGAGAAAAUUAUGAAUAUCUUUGAUGGUUGUGUACAUUUACAGUUGUCUCUUGGUGUGCUAAUAGCUUCUCGAUUUUUCAAUUGACCAUCACUGACAGGCAUGGGUUCAAGUUUUGUGUUAAUAGCUUCUCAAUUUUUUUAGUUGUCUCUUGGUGUAUCCAUAACCUUGGAUGUCUACAUGUAAAUUAUGAAUAUCUUUUGUUAACUUGGCGUUGUGUCAUAUGAUUUGAAAAAUGUAGAUUAUUUCUGUCCUGAUUGCAAAUCAAAAAGUAAAACAGUUCCAGCGAUUGAAAAUUUGAAUAGUUCCAAUACUUCAGAGUAAGUCAUUUAUUGCUCCCUAACCAAUGGAUACAAAGCAACUUGAAUGAAGGUUUGCUGGUAUAAAUUACUUGGCAUAUUGCUAUGGUUGGCAACCCUUUUUCUUAAUUUAACGAGGAUAUUUCCUCUGCUUCUAUGGAACCCUUCUCUUACUAAAAGAUAAUUCUUAGUACCAAGACAUAAUGCAGAGCUAAUACUUGAAACCUCAGUUUUGAGCAGAUUAAUCGCGGUGCAUGGUCAGCCUAGCUUGCCAAUCUCUUUUGAUUUGAUCUAUAUUUGAGUGUGGCUCAUGUUGAGCUUCACCCAGUCAUUGCUUUGUUUUUCCUUUUUUAGAAAUAAAUCAUAUAGCCAUUGUCACUCCUUAAACUAAUUUAGUUAGGCCAUCAGUUGGGUUUCAUGUGCUGCGACCACUUGCUUAGUUAGUCCUUAAAAAAACUCGCUCUAAAAUUUUGUCCACCUUGCCACAUCGAACUGCCAGCUUAAGCAGUUCAUCAGUAGCUCAAUAGAAAUUGAGCAUUUAAUACCUUGGUUUUGCGUUCAGAAAUUUGUCUUUUGCAGGUACAAUUGGACUGGAUUUGGUAAAACCACUUAGGUUAACGAGAUAAGGGAUUUUUUAAUUAGGCAUAAAUUGAGGGAUUUUUUUUAGUUAGGCAUAAAUUGGAUUCAAAUCUUGGGUUCGCCACCGAUGGUUCGUAAAGAUAAACAUGGGAGCUUAAUGUUUUAUUUUGUUCACAUGUCAAAGCAAUUGGAAGCCUCUCUUUUUUGUAGGAAUCUAUAGAUAAAUGCACAGUUGAAAUUGAUGCUUAGUCACACCAGUAGUCUGCUCCUCAGGUUUUGCUGGUCUCACGCUUCUUAUCAUAGGUGACGAGAGCAAAGUCAAGAAGGAAAUACUUGGCCCCUUGCCCCCCCCCUCCUCUCAAGGUUGGUUUCUUUGGUCAUCCCUUGUACUGGUUUGGCUCUGCUAUUCUUACUGGUUCUUAUUGGAUAUGUUGACUGGUUCUUAUUUUCCAGCUUACAUAAGGAAUGCUCAGAUUCUUAGUUAAUGUCAACCGAUUCAUUUCUGUAACUAUGUUCUGUUUUUGCAUUUUGCUAGAGCAUUUCUCCAGCUCCACCAAAAUCACUAUCAGGUGCUAAAGAUGUUCCUGUUCCUUCAAGGUCGCUGCAAAUUGAUAGGUUCAUUCCAGCCCCCCCUCCCAAAGAUUAUCGCAAGUUGAUAAAGUUGCUCUGCCUUCUUCAGAACAGCCACAUAUAUCUCCAGCUACUAAUUCUGAAGCCCAAGGGGCAACUACUUCUAGGAAGGUCACAGUCAGCUCAGUUUUGGAAGUUGCUGCAGCAUCGAGGCCUUCAAGUGCUCCUCUAUUACCCACACCAAGAUCAACUGCACCAGUUGCUUCACAUAUUCAAACUUCCACGUUGCUUUCCCGCUCGAUGAGUGAGGCAGCUGGGAGAAGGUCAGUAAAUGAUCCUUCCUUUUCUGCCCCAUCUUAUACUCCCCAGACCUACCGAAAUGCAAUAAUUGGUAAGACUGGUCUGGCUACUAUCUCUGCAAGCCUUGCAUAUCAGUCAUAUUCUCUGGGUCAAGAUACUGCUCCUUCACAGCCUCUAUCAGCAUAUGCAUCAAGCACAACAGUCAUGAUGCCUCCUGCUGGAAGAUCUGAUCAAUCAUCAGCUAGGCAUGGAUUCAAGCCUGGGUCUGGUAAGCUAGAAGCACAUGACAGCUGGCAGCAGUGGAAAGGUGAUAAUAAUGUUGAUUGCAGGCUUACCGAGCAUAAAUCUGAGGUAAUGGUUUCAUGUUUCCUUAUAAUAUGACUUUUUAUAUGUACCAUUGCAUCAAUCUUCUGAUGAUCGUUUACAUCUUCUGAAAUUCUAGCUUGAGUAGAAAGGAGGCUUUCCUAAGGCAUUGCUAAUCAUGUUCUCACGGCGCAUUGGUCAGAGCUUCUAUGUUCAUAUAUUGCAUGUUUAUUACUUUUACUACUACUUCAGUCGUAGUUCAGUUCAUCACUCUCCCGCUGUUCACUUUCAGACAUGACACAAGCACAGAUCGGAACACUUGCUGUAUAUGAACUCAAGAAUGCCAAGUAAGCAUACAAAGUCCCCACUAGGAAACUGUUAUAUGAACACCUUGUCAUGCUGAGUUCAUAUACACCUUCAGAGAACCGAUAGGGGCAUACAAAGCUUGGCACAUAUAACAGUUUGUCUUCUGCAAGGAUGAAGGUUCUGUUGAUUUUAACUACUAGAGCGGCGCUUCCAACAAGUUUAUGUUGAUCAGCCUUCAGUUGAAGAUACAAUUUCAAUACUCCGAGGACUAAGAGAGAGAUAUGAGUUGCACCAUGGUGUACGAAUAUCUGACAGUGCCCUUGUAGCUGCAGCUGUUCUUUCAGACCGUUAUAUCAGUGGACGAUUCUUGUCUGACAAAGGUGAUUUAUUUGACUCAUUGCCAUCUUAAUUGAAACUAACCUGCUAGAUGAGGAGAUAUUAUUACGGCCACUACUGUAAGAUCUUAUGUGGUCUUUCUAAUGAGAGGUUAUGCUCUGUUGCAGCUAUUGAUCUGGUUGAUGAAUCAGCUGCCAAAUUAAAAAUGGAGAUAACAUCAAAACCUACUGCUCUGGAUGAGAUCGAUCGUGUUGUCCUAAAGAUUGAAAUGGAGCGUCUCUCACUUACAAAUGAUACAGACAAAGCAUCAAAGGACAGACUAUCUCGUCUUGAAGCAGAACUAUCACUCUUGAAGGAUAAACAACAUCAGUUGACUGAGAAGUGGGAGCACGAGAAAUCAGUGAUGACUAAAAUUCAAUCUAUCAAAGAAGAGAUUGACAGGGUAAAUGUGGAGAUACAGCAGGCAGAACGUGAGUACGAUCUUAAUCGAGCUGCUGAACUGAAAUAUGGCAGCCUGAAUGCCUUGCAGCGCCAGCUUCAAACGACAUAGAAGGAGCUUGAUGAAUAUCAGAGUUCUGGGAAAUCCAUGCUAAGGGAAGAGGUGACCCAAGACGAUAUUGCAUAAAUAGUGAGCAGGUGGACAGGCAUUCCAGUUUCUAAACUAAAGCAAUCUGACAGGGAGAAAUUGUUGUAUCUGGAGGAAGAGCUGCACAAGCGAGUUGUCGGUCAGGAUCCUGCUGUAAAAGCAGUUGCAGAGGCCAUUCAGAGAUCCAGAGCUGGAUUAUCUGACCCAAACCGUCCUAUUGCCAGUUUCAGGCUCUUUUGCAUGCGUCGGUUGCAUUUUCCCAGAUAUUUGUAUGCAAUGUUUUGUAUGCGUCGAUUUGCAACAAGGCAACAUAUCCUAUUAGCUGGAGACUAAGCUAGCUAACUGUUAAGAGAGUUUGAGUCUCCAGAUGUGAACAAACUCCCUGUAACUACUUGGUUCAGUAUUUUGAUCGACAUCAAUAAGAUUUUCUUCAUAUUGAAAUUUUCCGGUGAGUGCGUCUAAACUUGUCGCUGCAUAGAUGCUCCCUGUAACUACUUUUGCAUGCGUCAGACGUGGAGAGUUUGAGUCUCCAGGGAGUUUGUAACUAUGCUGCGACAAACUUUGUAUAUUAGUUUAGUGACUUAUUAGUGAGUCUAAACUUACCGACACAAAUUAGGGUGAGACAAACUUUAGACUCACUAACAUGUAUCCUAUUAAUGUUUUUCCGGUGAGCAGCCGCCCUCGGCUUUCCCUCCCCUCCCUCCUUGCCCUGUGCACUGCUCGGUUGUUUGGUGGCCAUUAAUUUACACGCUACCAAAAAAACACGCAGCCCUCACGCUUUCCGGCUCCUCCCCUCCUCCGCCGUUAGGCUUGCCGCACAGCGGCUUUACACUGUUUCGACUUCGCCUCUUCCUCCGUGACCACGCGCGAUAGACCAAACAGCACGAGUAAGGGCCGACUGAAGUCUCGAUGGCGAAUCGGAUUCCACUCGACUCGGAUUCCAAACCGCGCGCCGAUAGCCAUCCGAAUGACUGAUAUUUUGCAGGUUCUUAUGUCAUGGAAAUUCAACGGAUGUCACGCCCUUUUCGUAAUAGAUCAUGUUAAAAAGCAUGUGACUUUUAUCCACUUUACACCGACUCAAGAUUGGUGUAAACACAUGCCAUACAAGAGGUUUGCGGAAGCGAUUGUCAUGGCCUCAAAGAAAUAUAAGAUUGCUUACAGCAAGAAACGUUCUCGAUGGGCGGAGGAUAUCUUUAAGUGGGAACAUACAAUUCAGACUGGUGUUCCAAUUGACUUAAGAGGGUAUUUUCUUCGUACCACCUCAGCAGUUUAAAUUUUUUCUAUGAUAAUCAUUGUAUAAAACAUAGUUGCCCAAACAUUAUAUUAUAGGUUUAAUACCAGCUACCUCGUUCUACAGGCUAUGGCCAUAUGGGGGAAUGACAGACGAAUGAAAUUUGUUGGGGAUGCAAAGAUUGUUCGAAGGAACUUUGUGAUUGAUCUGUUAAGUUAUGAGGACAAUUCGUGCCGAUAUGCCAUCGCUGCAAACAUACAACAGAGACUUAUCGAUAUCACUAAAAAGAAUUAGCUGAUUAGUGUGAUAUUGAUAAUGUUUUCCACACGGAUUUUGCAUAUUAUAGUGAUGUUUGUCGUUUUGUAUUAAUGUUUCAUACAAAUCUUUUACUUCUGUCGCAACGCACGGACACAUAACUAUAAUAUACAACAGAGACAUAUAAGUUAUCGUGUUAUUAUUCGGUUCCGUUGCAACGCACGGGCACUCACCUAGUUAUUAUUAUACGAAUGCGAAUGCGACGAGUGCCUGUCUCGCUGGCAGAUUCCAUCAAUCAAUGGAAGAUAAAGAUAGGUAGGUUGGUCACCACCUUAGCGAUCGAGAUAGCCAGCUCCUCAUACUUGAUCUUGAUCACUCGGUUCAGAUGAGGCGAUGCCACAGAUAAAAAGUACGAAAUGGAUGUUCAGCGAGGGACGUUGGUUACUUUGUGAUGACAGAACAGAACAGCUGUAGUAUUGAACAACUUGAACGGACCAGCAAUUAAACACAACAUUCACCUUGUUCGAUAGCCUUAACGCGCGCAUUGAUACCACUGCACAGUUACCAUUACCACCGAGCGAGAGAACGAGAGAGAGAGAGAUGCACACCUGAUGGUCACCGCGACAUCAGCUGGUUGGGUUUUCUUGGGAGGAACGGUGUAGCCCGUCUCGAAGUU